GUCUUGUUGGAGGAAGUGUGUCACUGUGGGGAUAGGCUUUGCGGUUUCCUAGGCUCAGGAUGCUGCCCAGUGUUUCAGUUGACUAUAAGAUGCAAGACUCUCAGCUACUUCUUCAGCACCAUGUCUGCCUGCAUGUUGCAAUGCCCCAUGCCAUGAUGAUGAUUGACUGAACUUCUGAAACUGUAACCAUCUCCUGAGAAAUACUGAUCGGCAAAGAACUUCUGCCAUGCUCAAUUAUCACAAGUACUCAUCUCUCUGCUCCUUCUGUCGUGUCCUCAGCCCUUUUGAUGGUUCCUGUAGGUGACAGUGGAGUACACACCUACGACAACCUCUCCAUUUAUAUACCAGAUCCUCUCCCUUCUUGUCUGCACAUGUGAGGGACACUGGGCGUCUUCUUGCAAAAGAAAGACUGUAAGCAGAGAGAUGCUUCCAGGCUGUCAUGAGCUGGUGAGAGGGGGAAGCCUGUCUACAGAACUAGCUGCCAAGGUCUCUGAGGCUGGAUCCUUCAGGGAUCAAGAAAUGAGGCUCG
This 529-nucleotide long non-coding RNA is filed under the name Cricetulus griseus (Chinese hamster). Its description in RNAcentral is "lncRNA (ENSCGRG00015040152.1)". Lineage: Eukaryota; Metazoa; Chordata; Mammalia; Rodentia; Cricetidae. The record is from RNAcentral.